GUGGGUAUAGCUCAGUUUGGUUAGAGCAUCAGAUUGUGGCUCUGGGGGCCGAGGGUUCGAGUCCCUCUACCCACC
This 75-nucleotide transfer RNA is filed under the name Candidatus Delongbacteria bacterium. RNAcentral's name for it is "tRNA-His". It matches the Rfam family "tRNA". Rfam says of the family: Transfer RNA (tRNA) molecules are approximately 80 nucleotides in length. Their secondary structure includes four short double-helical elements and three loops (D, anti-codon, and T loops). The record is from RNAcentral. Lineage: Bacteria; Candidatus Delongiibacteriota.